Molecule: unclassified non-coding RNA, 422 nt
Filed under: soil metagenome
Description: partial contains 5.8S ribosomal RNA, internal transcribed spacer 2, and large subunit ribosomal RNA
Rfam family: 5.8S ribosomal RNA (bases 1-120)
Source: RNAcentral
GAUGAAGAACGUAGCGAAAUGCGAUACGUAAUGUGAAUUGCAGAAUUCAGUGAAUCAUCGAAUCUUUGAACGCAUAUUGCGCUCUUUGGUAUUCCGAAGAGCAUGCUUGUUUGAGUAUCAGUAAACACCUCAACCGCUUCUUGAUUUUUCAAAAGGAGGGUGGACUUGAGCUCUCCCAACAACCUUUACCGGUCGGCGGGCGGCUUGAAAUGCAGGUGCAGCUGGACUUUUAUCUGAGCUAAAAGCAUAUCUAUUUAGUCCUCGUCAAACAGGAUUAUUACUUUUGCUGCAGCUAACAUAAAGGAUAAUUGUCCUCUUUGCUGACUGAUGCAGGAUUUUACGACACUUUAUGUGUUGUUCAACUCGAUCUCAAAUCAAGUAAGACUACCCGCUGAACUUAAGCAUAUCAAUAAGCGGAGGGA